AUUGAACGCUGGCGGAAUGCUUUACACAUGCAAGUCGAACGGCAGCACGGGGCAACCUGGUGGCGAGUGGCGAACGGGUGAGUAAUACAUCGGAACGUGCCCAAUCGUGGGGGAUAACGUAGCGAAAGUUACGCUAAUACCGCAUACGAUCUACGGAUGAAAGCGGGGGAUCGCAAGACCUCGCGCGAAUGGAGCGGCCGAUGUCAGAUUAGGUAGUUGGUGGGGUAAAGGCUCACCAAGCCGACGAUCUGUAGCUGGUCUGAGAGGACGACCAGCCACACUGGGACUGAGACACGGCCCAGACUCCUACGGGAGGCAGCAGUGGGGAAUUUUGGACAAUGGGCGCAAGCCUGAUCCAGCCAUUCCGCGUGCAGGAUGAAGGCCUUCGGUUGUAACUGCUUUGUACGGAACGAACGGUUCUCUCUAAUACAGGGGGCUAAUGACGGUACCGUAAGAAUAAG
RNAcentral lists this ribosomal RNA (461 nucleotides) under uncultured bacterium. Its description in RNAcentral is "bacterial SSU rRNA". It matches the Rfam family "Bacterial small subunit ribosomal RNA", at positions 30 to 490 of the family's 1533-position model. The record is from RNAcentral.